This 426-nucleotide ribosomal RNA is filed under the name uncultured bacterium. RNAcentral's name for it is "bacterial SSU rRNA". It matches the Rfam family "Bacterial small subunit ribosomal RNA", at positions 354 to 796 of the family's 1533-position model. The record is from RNAcentral.
GUAGGGAAUCUUGCGCAAUGGGCGAAAGCCUGACGCAGCGACGCCGCGUGGGGGAUGAAGGCCUUCGGGUUGUAAACCCCUUUCAUGAGGGAAGAACACUGACUUAACCUCAAGAAGAAGCACCGGCUAACUCCGUGCCAGCAGCUGCGGUAAUACGGAGAGUGCGAACGUUGUUCGGAUUUACUGGGCGUAAAGGGCACGUAGGCGGCCCGGCAAAUCAGUCGUGGAAUUCCGCCGCUCACCGGCGGAACGGCGGCUGAAAAUACCGGGCUAGAGGGCGUGAGGGGUCGCUGGAACUCCUGGUGAAGCGGUGAAAUGCGUAGAUAUCAGGAGGAACGCCGGAGGCGAAAGCGAGCGACUGGCGCGUUCCUGACGCUGAGGUGCGAAAGCCAGGGGAGCAAACAGGAUUAGAAACCCCUGUAGUCC